RNAcentral lists this ribosomal RNA (45 nucleotides) under Kluyveromyces marxianus. RNAcentral describes it as "partial 28S ribosomal RNA". Lineage: Eukaryota; Fungi; Ascomycota; Saccharomycetes; Saccharomycetales; Saccharomycetaceae. The record is from RNAcentral.
UUGACCUCAAAUCAGGUAGGAGUACCCGCUGAACUUAAGCAUAUC